RNAcentral lists this transfer RNA (63 nucleotides) under Otomantis scutigera. RNAcentral describes it as "tRNA-Cys". The record is from RNAcentral. Lineage: Eukaryota; Metazoa; Arthropoda; Insecta; Mantodea; Hymenopodidae.
GGUCUUGUAUUCAUAAAUGAUGUUAGAAUGCAAUUCUAAAGGUGUAAAGUAUUACUAAGACUU